CUGACUUCGAGGAGUUCCUCUGAACAAUUCCUCAACAAUUUGAUAAGUUCCUUAAAAAGUUCCUAACUUCCUGUUUCAUUGACCAAUCAGAUUGCUCAAAAAUAAAAUAUAAAAUUUGAUUGGUCAAUGAAACAGGAAGUUAGGAACUUUUUAAGGAACUUAUCAAAUUGUUGAGGAAUUGUUCAGAGGAACUCCUCGAAGUUAG
This is a non-coding RNA of Paramuricea clavata, 205 nucleotides long. The record is from the annotation of a GenBank genome assembly. Lineage: Eukaryota; Metazoa; Cnidaria; Anthozoa; Malacalcyonacea; Plexauridae.